CCUACGGGAGGCAGCAGUGGGGAAUAUUGGACAAUGGGGGCAACCCUGAUCCAGCCAUGCCGCGUAUGUGAAGAAGGCCCUCGGGUUGUAAAGCACUUUCAGUGAGGAAGAACGCCUGGUGGUUAAUACCCAUCAGGAAAGACAUCACUCACAGAAGAAGCACCGGCUAACUCCGUGCCAGCAGCCGCGGUAAUACGGAGGGUGCGAGCGUUAAUCGGAAUUACUGGGCGUAAAGCGCGCGUAGGUGGCUUGAUAAGCCGGUUGUGAAAGCCCCGGGCUCAACCUGGGAACGGCAUCCGGAACUGUCAAGCUAGAGGGCAGGAGAGGAAGGUAGAAUUCCCGGUGUAGCGGUGAAAUGCGUAGAGAUCGGGAGGAAUACCAGUGGCGAAGGCGGCCUUCUGGACUGACACUGACACUGAGGUGCGAAAGCGUGGGUAGCAAACAGGAUUAGAUACCCUAGUAGUC
This 465-nucleotide ribosomal RNA is filed under the name Vreelandella stevensii. Its description in RNAcentral is "partial 16S ribosomal RNA". It matches the Rfam family "Bacterial small subunit ribosomal RNA", at positions 338 to 795 of the family's 1533-position model. Lineage: Bacteria; Pseudomonadati; Pseudomonadota; Gammaproteobacteria; Oceanospirillales; Halomonadaceae. The record is from RNAcentral.